UUUUCCCCUGCUCUGGAUCUGCGCACCGGAGAGGCGCCGAGAGACAUCCGAACCUGCGGUGCCUCCUCUUCCUCACCAGACCCGGCUGCUGAGGGUGCGGAGCUGCUGCUUUCCCGAGGGAAGGAUGUCAGACAGCCCUUUGAGUACAGCCCGAAGGAGAACUCUUCCCUGUGGCUGAGCCCUCUCGCCAUCUCUGCCCCUUGGGAUCAAUCCCUCUCCCGCGGGCAGGAAGAACAGCAGCUUGCCUCAGUUUACCCAAAGAGCACGAGGGUUACACUGUAGCUGAAUCAGGUGAAGCUGGGUUCCCAUCCUGCUGAGCCCUCCGGCAGCCUCCCCUGUCCUGGAGGGACAAGGGCUCCUGCACAGGCAGAUCCCAUCUGCAGCCAUCCCAUCUGGGAAGCAGAAAGGUGCAGAGGGACCUGAUAAAGCAGCUUUGGUGGGCACCCGACACCCAGCUGGGCCCAACCCACCCCAGAGAUUCUGCACAUGCAGGGGGAGCCAAGGCGAGUGGGAGAAUUGCAGCAAAAUCUGACUGAAGACCUGACAGUAAAAGCUGCUCCUCCACGGAGCUGGGCCAGGGGAGCCCUGUGCAUUCCAUGGGUGUUGGAGGCUAGGCUGAACUGGGAAUGCUGAGUGUCCCCCAGGCCAUCCCAGGGACCUGGGCCCAGCACAGCCGUGGCCUCUCCACUUCUGCAGCAGCUGCUCUCAUCCCCACUGAAUGCCAAACCUCCAGGACACACAGGAUCCAGACCCAGCAGCUUCUCAGGGUGAGAAGCCCUGGCAGCACCCUUCAGUCCCAGCUGAUUUCAGAGUAAGAAGCUGUCAUGCUUAAAACCACGACAGAAGCUAACCUUCUAACAUAUUCCUGAAAAACUGUUUAGUCUUAUUUCCAAGUGGAAGACCGACAAGAAGAACAUUCCAUUUUCCUCAUCAGAAUUUGAGAAGACAUAAUGAGAAGUGGGGCAAAGAAACCCUGGACCAGCUCCAGGGGGGCAGCACCUGGGGGAAAAACUCCCUUACCAACUGCUUUUCUAAUUGGACAAUACUUGUUAGAUAUGCUAAUUUGUUAAAUCUAUAAAAAUUGUAAAAGUCCAAUACUAGGUGUGCCCAUGACUACUGGGACACCUGGAAGCUUCCAAAUAAAGAUCUGUGGUUUAUUUUA
Molecule: non-coding RNA, 1162 nt
Organism: Cyanistes caeruleus (blue tit)
Lineage: Eukaryota; Metazoa; Chordata; Aves; Passeriformes; Paridae
Source: RefSeq, a predicted model, not a curated record